AAAGGUUUCUGCCACUACCUUCCUAGACUCAUCUAAGUGGAUGGACUCCAGGGGAUGGAGAAUGGAAGGCAGCAGAUGUUUGUUGACUUCUUGCUCUAUAUCGGGCACUGUGCUAGAUACCAUACACGCCAUCAACAUUUAGGACAGUAUGACAAAGGAGAAUGAAAGCUGUCUCUUGUAGAUAGGAUAUUUUCAGCCGUCAUCACCAUGGACUCUUUGAAAUGUACUACUUCAGAAAAGCCACAGUGACUCCCUCUGGGCCUCACCCACCUGAGAUGACAUCACGACGCAAAUCUAGGACUUACGCUCUUCAUACGGAUGGAAUGGUUGGUUCACUUGGCUUUCAGAGUGCAGACAAGCCAUUCAGUGGAGGGCAUGCCUCAGCCUGCACUCUUCUGACUCAUGACAUGACUUCUCCAUGGAGAGCCAGGAUUUUUCUCAAGUGUAACAAUAUUAAUUAUCAAGUCACUUUAAAACA
RNAcentral lists this long non-coding RNA (478 nucleotides) under Homo sapiens (human). RNAcentral describes it as "HSALNT0386217". The record is from RNAcentral. Lineage: Eukaryota; Metazoa; Chordata; Mammalia; Primates; Hominidae.